This is a long non-coding RNA of Mercenaria mercenaria, 3765 nucleotides long. RefSeq lists it as uncharacterized. Lineage: Eukaryota; Metazoa; Mollusca; Bivalvia; Venerida; Veneridae. The transcript is spliced from 4 exons. The record is from RefSeq and is a predicted model, not a curated record.
UCACAGUUGAGAUUUUUUAUGUGUGCACCGGUACAGUUUUGCAGGGAAGCGAAAGUUGCUGGAAUUUUGUCUUCUUCUAAAAACAAGUGUCUGAUACAUUCUGUCUUUGGAAGCUGUAGAAAUAACAAGAAAGAUGCUGACAUAGUGUUUUGGUAGGGAAAAGUUUGAGUAUGUACAGUUGUUUGACCUUUCUUUCCCUGUGGCAGUCCAAGAAGAUGUUACCAUUAUGAAAAAUGCAGGAGGUAUUCUGCUUCUGUAUGUUAAACAAAGGUCUCAAAGCAUUUAUAUGCUGUAUGACUACAUGCUUGCUUCUGAAAUAAUUGUAAAAGACAGCUAUAAGACUGACAUUCCUGACAAGAUGUGAACCUUCUGGACUUUAUGUCAGCCUGGCGUAAACAUUUCUUUCCUGUAGCUUUGUGUAUCCAUCAAUUUACUAUGUACAUAUCUCCAUUCAAAAUAAUGCUAAUAUAUAUGGUUUAGUAAUAAAUGUGUGAUAGCUUUGUAAUGUCAACAUUUCAAAAAUAGAAUGAACAUGUAUUUUGAUAAUAAAUAUUGAAAUACAAAUUUCAGUAUAUUGUAUCUGUCAGCAAAAACAUGAAGUGCAUUUGUAUCUUUGUAUUGAGAUAAUUAAAACAAUUAUAUUCAAAUGCUUUGACACUGAUUUUAUGUUGAUUUCCUAGAAUGUGUAUGAAUUAAUGUUUUACAAUAUUUCAGAACUUGAAGACAAUGGUUAGUGCAGAAGGGACAUAAAAGUUAUGAUAAAAGUAACAGAUAUAAAUAAGAAGUGCUACAAGUGUGUUGUCAUGUGAAAUGGACUUUACCCCAACUAUGCUGCAUGAUGUAUAUUCAAGUGCGAGACAGCCAUGCACCAGCUGUAAACUGAGAUGGACCCAUAUAAUAAAUAUGUUGACUUUUCUAUGUAUUAUCAUCUGUACAGAAUGUGUUCAUGACAAGACUGUAUACAUAUAUUGUUAAAUUAUUUUUUAUUUCCAUUAUUGCAUGCAUGUAAGAAGCAAGCAUUUAACAAUUGCAUUCAUAGAAAUGUUAAAAUGUGACCAAUCUAAUUUAAAAAUACCCAUUUAAUUGGACUUUUUAAGUUUCAUAGUAUUUGUGGUGGAGAAUGACCCAGUCAUUCAGCAACUUAUACUGUCUGUGUGUCAUUUCUUGUAUGUUAUAGUUUUCUUAAUAAUACAUUAAAUGUCAAAGUUAUGGUAAGAUAAACUCAUUCAUCACUUGUAGAUUAAUGUUAAACAGUUCAACAUUUUACCACAAGUUAACUAAUAUUCUAUUUAACCUGAGUUGUCACAUAUUUUCAUACAAACAUUUGUACAAUACAGUCUAAUCUAAUCUACAAAUGAAGUUCCACAAUUUUUCAGUUAUAUUUUAUGUUGAUAUUUUAUGUUGUUUUCAUGUCUCAACAUAUAAUUACUAACAUCAAAGAAACUUAAGUAUUUUACAAUUUGGUUGGUAUAAAUGGUUGUUUUGUUUAUAUGUUUUAUUUUUUUCCAUCCAGGAGAAUAAAGAAAUAUACAUUUCAAAAUAUCUCAUCAUUCCAGAUAAGUACACUACAUAAUCAAGAUAAAAGAAAUAAGAACAAAAUAUGUUGGUGGAAUUUUAUUUUCAAAAAUUUGAUAUACAGUCUUUGUAGUAUUUACUUCUUUAGAUAUGUUGGACUGAAAUAGGAAUAACAACAUACUUUAAAUUUUGGUAGUCAUAAGUUAAUAUGGGAAUUAUUAACUUAACUUAACUUAAAAAGAUUUUAUCUCACUGUUAUGCCAUCUGAGCUUUAAUAUUUUUCAACAUUGUCAUUGACAACAAGGUUGUUUGAUGUCCUUUUACUGUUAAGUUGUUUCUGUAUUUGUUUACAUUCCAUGUCUGAAUGAAAUGAAGAAACAGACUUUAAUGAGGGUAUCCCGGGAAAAUACCUAAGUUUAUUUUUAUAUCAGCAAAUCUGAUGAGAUAGUCAUUCAGGAGUUGUCUAUCCUAUUUCCAAAAAUGCUAUGGGGACAUGAUAAAAGAAAAUAUAUUAAUUAUACAUGUACAUCUUUGAAAAGCUCAGAUCGCAAACUUCCUAAUGGUGUGUGUCUUUUGAAAAUCAAAUGAGAAACUAUGACGCACUGGCAGUUUAAAAAUAGCAUUUUCUAUAGAUUUGUAGCAUAAAGUAACGACUGUUAACUGUUAAAUGUUAAAGGAGCAUACCGAGCUAUAACCGAGUGCAAUUAAAUGUCUUCAGAAACCAUGUGUAAAUGCAUUUUUGAAUCAAAGAAACAUCAAUUAUCCCCAAGCAGUGUACUUAAAGAACAAAACACAUACGGUCCAAAGCAGCAAGCGAAAACCACGCUAUUUUACCUCUUCUUUCUUGAUUAUUUUACGCGCACCUGUAUGUGUUCAUAAGACAACAUCAACUCUCAAAAUUUCAGCUAAACAUUCCAGCAAAAAUAAGUUUUACUAUUUAUCAAGUUGUUGUUGUACAAUUUUAGGUGGAUAGCUAUUUAUUAUAGACAGACGCUAUAUAGGUGAUUAUUCGCCCAAAAAUGAAUAAUUUGAUAUGCAUGAAUACUCUUCUUGAAAAUUGUAAUAAGUUCUUCUUUUACGUAUGUCUAGCCCAUAACAUACGGUUACAAAAUUUUGAUAUGCUAGAUGUAAGGUAUGCCUCUUUAAUUUGAAUAAAAAUGACAUGGAUCUAAUAAUUCUAUUAUCUUUAUUCUCUUUGCGAAUAUUUGUAUUUUUAAUUAAACAGACACUAUUUCUCACUGGUAUCAUUAUAGCAAUUUUUGAUUAAGCAGAUGAGGGGGUGGGGGUUGCCUUGCCCAGCCCGUCAGUGUGUGUUUCAAGACACUUGAUGGGUUUAGUCAGAGCAGAAUUUCUAGUAUAUAAUGUAACAUUGAUGCAAAUAGUUUGAACGUUAUACUGUUUCACGGAUGUGACUUUAACUGUCACAGCGGAGUCGUUUAUUGCACAUCAAAUGUGCGGGUUUCAACCUUUCUGUGCUGUUAGCGCUUUGAUUUUUAACUGGUGUAUACUAGAGUUGCAACACUGGUUACAUGAAUUAAAAGUACAAUGCACCAAAACGUUUUACACAGACCUUUCACAGCUAUAAAUUCAACUAUUUUCUACCAUAUUUAUGACAUAUCUGCCUAUUACUACAGGCAACCACAAGUUUGAAGUUGAUUUUAUGACGGUCUUAGAGUUAUUUUCCAUCUAAAACAUUUUUGUUACAUUAAAAUGAUAUCCAGAAGGAUAAUAAUGUUGCUAGUUUGCCAUGCAAUUUAUUCUUGGUAUGGUUUACCUUUCCUAUGGGGAACUCACAUUUUAUUCUAAGUUAUCAGGAACAUUUUAAAAGGCAACGACUUCCGGUGUGGCAAACGUAAAGAACCAACCUCUGUGCAGGAAUAUUGUCAAAUAAUUAUCAUUGUCUCUAAGCUCAUGACGAUGGUAAGACCAUGUGAUCCUAAAAUGGCAACACACUUGGCACAGGCUGUUAAACCAAAUGCUUACCAUAAUGUACAGGCAAAUCCACAUUUAUGUCACAAUUUUUAAGACAGUAAAGUAUUCAAUGUGUCUGUAUUUUGCAAAAUGCGAUUUGUCAAAUUUUCUGAUUACGUCAAAUAAUUUCACUGUUUACAUUUAGGCAUGUGCUCGUCUCUACACUAGAAAAAGAAGUAUUAUAAUUCACUGCAUUAAUUUUUAAUGUUUGCUUGUUUUUCAAGCAAAAUGUAUAUUUAACUUUUGUGAUACAAAUAAAUUUAAAAAAAAAAAAAGAAA